GCUUCUAGAAGUCCAGCAUCACCUGCACGACAAGCUGCGGUGCCAUGAGUCAGAGAUGCAUCGUCUCCGAGAGAUGGUGGACUGCUUGCGAGAGAGAAAUGAGAAGAAUUCAGGGAUACACCUCCAGCUACAGGAGAUGAAGGGAUUGUAUCAGUGCAGCAGGGAUGAGCUGGAACGGCAGAAGCACAUGUAUGACCAGCUGGAGCAGGACUUCAUGCUCUGCCAGCAGGAGCUGACAGAGCUCAAGUCCAGCCAUUCCUUUU
This 263-nucleotide long non-coding RNA is filed under the name Rattus norvegicus (Norway rat). RNAcentral's name for it is "long non-coding RNA NONRATT020302". The record is from RNAcentral. Lineage: Eukaryota; Metazoa; Chordata; Mammalia; Rodentia; Muridae.